RNAcentral lists this ribosomal RNA (253 nucleotides) under uncultured bacterium. RNAcentral's name for it is "partial 16S ribosomal RNA". It matches the Rfam family "Bacterial small subunit ribosomal RNA", at positions 524 to 776 of the family's 1533-position model. The record is from RNAcentral.
UACGUAGGGUGCAAGCGUUGUCCGGAAUUAUUGGGCGUACAGAGCUCGUAGGCGGUUUGUCGCGUCUGCUGUGAAAACUCGGGGCUUAACUCCGGGCCUGCAGUGGGUACGGGCAGACUAGAGUGCGGUAGGGGAGACUGGAAUUCCUGGUGUAGCGGUGAAAUGCGCAGAUAUCAGGAGGAACACCGGUGGCGAAGGCGGGACUCUGGGCCGAUACUGACGCUGAGGAGCGAAAGCGUGGGGAGCAAACAGG